AAUUAAAGCUAGCUAGCUUUGUAUAUUUAAAUAAUAGUACUAAGAAGCUGAUAAUUAAGAAGCUUGGGGCUAACGCAAGCAUGCUGUUCAUCAAUUUAACCCUGAGCAAAGGCAAUCUUAAUAUUUAAACAAUGUACAAGUAACAAGUGCUACUCACUCGCAUGCUUGCAUGCAGAUAACAAUUUUUUACGAGAGCUAGCUGUGCACCCAAAGAACAAAUGCAGAUAUAGAAGUUCAUAUAAAUCGGUCAAUGAAUAGCCAUUUCACUAUGGACGAAGACUGGAUACUCAUGAUCGACUAUUUUUACAUUCUGGAUCAUCAAUAAUUUCCUCUUAACGAGCAUUGCGAGGGGUAAAUUCGUAAAAAAGAAAAAGAAGAUGAGCAGCAGUGCAAGAGAGGGUGAGGUCAACAGGGGAGUGGGUAGAAGUAGUACGCUAGACAUUGGGUACACUAGCAUCUCCGUGGUGGGCCCUCGUGUUCCCCGGCCCAUCCCUCUCGAUGGCCUUCGCCUUCACACCCCCAAGCUGUGAUCGAUCGAUCGAGCGAGCGAGCUAUAGCUUCUCCGCUUCUCCAUCUCCUGCCCUGUAGCUAUCACCCUCUUCCAGCUUGCCUCCAUUUCCUCUCUCUCUCUCCCCUUAAGCUUCUCUCUAUAUCAAUCUCGAUCUCCAUGCCGCCAUUGCACACACCUGCACUCAGGCUCAGCUAACUACCUACCUCCUUAUAAACGCCGCCUGCCUCGAUCGAUUGAUCGAUCUCCUCUCCAGGCUCCAUAACCUAGUAAUACUACUACCUUAGCUUAGUUAGUAGUUUACCUAGCUAGAUAGCAGCUGGCUGCAACAGAUAUGAGAGUUAAUUAGCUAGUGCAAUGCAUGCGUUACAAUUAGCCUCUGGUAUGAGAGAGUGAGUUAAUCAGUUGGCAACUCAACCGAUCGACCUGAGGAAACUAGCGGAAGACUCCAAAGGGAUCGCAUUGAUCUGGGCUAGCUAGCUAUCUCGAUCAGCUGCUGCUGCCUGUGUGUGCAUCUGAAACAUACACGCAUGCACGAGACGACUCGCGUGCGAGAUCGAUCAGUGCAAUCCCUUUGGAAUUUUCCACUUGCUUCCGCCUCCUCAUCCUUUCCUUCCAUUUAUACCUAGCUAACUCUUUCCCCCCUUCAUGCGCUUGCCGGCUUGCUGCGUCCAUCGCCGACUUCAAUAUAAUCCGCUGCUCCAUUCAGGAGAUGAUCGAAUCCCAGGGAGGCGCACAGUAGUCCUGAACUGCAGGUGCAAGCUAGCUAGCUGUUAGACACAACAAGGAUCAAGUGGUUUGAUUGGUGAUGUAUAAAUUGAAGCGAAAGGGAUCGAUAUAAAGUGGAGAAGGAAACGUGGAGAACUUGUUUUGCAUGAAACUUUUACACGGUACAGGACAUCGAAUGGUGAUAUAAUAUGCCUAUAAUAAUAAGCUAGCUCAUUGGAAAUUUGCUUCUUCCUUUUUCUGAUCUUGCUUUUUAUGAGCAUUAUUCCCUGGCCUUGUUGCUUAAAAGUGACCAGAGUACGCAUCUCGCAACUCAUUGCACUGAUGCUACCAAUAAAUUAAGAUUCGAUUGUCAUCAAGAAAAGAGCCAAGAAACUGGCUCACGCGUACCUAUCUAGAUUUUCUUCCCCACGCAUAUAUAUCUAACAAAAUAAGUAAUCUUUGCAAGAGAAAUUGAGCCCAUAAAAAACGACCGAUUACAUAAAUUAAUUACAGAACAUUGUCCAGAAAACCCAUUUUAAUUAAGCUAUCGACAAAUUAUAAGUAACGCAUUACAUUUUGAACUGUGUUUGUCUGCUUGAAGUUCAUACUUGGCGGUGAAAGAAGCUGUUUUGACCGACAGGGGUAAAACAUAUGGAGUCCGGGCAAGUUCCAUUUAUGAUGAUGGUAAGAUAUGUAUGCAAGCCGGGCUGUUCUCACGGCUGAACAGCUGAACUACUCUGAAUGCCUGCCUGGGCUCUUGAGCUGAGCGGUCUGCUAGCUUUCUGAUCUCUCCUGGCUGAUCAGUAUCCAUUUUCUUUUGCCCAAUGGCUAAGUGCAGUAUAACAUGCAGUAUAUAUUCGAUCAACUGUUUAACAAAGAUGAAAACUGAGGAAAUAUGUGAUGUUUUUAAACUUGUUGGUGAUGAUUUCCUUCACUUCAUGUCAAAGGAAAAUUUCUUUCAAGAAAAUCUCAAAUUCACGACAAGAAUUCUGAAGCCCAGCCCACGAGGCAGUGAAACCCCAGGUGCCUGAUGGGCCGUAACAUUGUCCAGACUCCUGACACGAUGUAUCCACGACGCAUACCGCGGCCAUACGGCCCAGGCAGGAAGUCUGGGUGGUUGGGUUGGUUGAUUGGUCGCUCGUAGCAGCAGCGGGGCGUUGCUUUCGGUGGCUCGCUGGUUCCGUGAAGCAACUUGCACAUCCAUCCACGAGACCACCACAUGGCCCAACCCGUGUGCCCCUCUCGGUCUCUCCUCCUCCUCCUCAUCCAUGUGCGCGGCGCGGGGCGUGGUCGUGGACGUGGAGGAUUCCAAUCCAAUCCAAGGCAGGGCAAAGCAGCAGGCAGCAGGAGCAGUCACUGUUGGAGUUGGUUGGUAUCGCCGGCCGCUUAUCCACUGCCGAGCCAGUGCACGCCACGGAUAACGGGCGGACGCUGGUAAUCCGCCGCCGCUGGUGCAUAUCAUAUCCACUCUGGCAAGCAAAACCAAGAAACGCGAUGGCUUCGUCGCACCGCAAGGCUGGACUGGACUGGACGGACGACGUCCUGGAAUCCAGGAGUAAUGGCGGCGAGACUAUGGCUGGGUUUGGGUUCCUUGGCAUGCAGGGCGCCGUGGACGAGAGAUAUGAUGUAUCGGUGACGAGAUAUCCAUCCAUCCAUCGGUUGACAAGUUGAUCAUUGGAUUGGACAGCCAUUAUUCACGGAAAUGAUCGAAUGAUCAUGAUCGAUCAUCGAUCGAUCGAUGGAUGUGCAUGCAUGCAUGGGUUGCAUAUAUUCAGAGUGGCGGCCCGGCGGGUGGGGCCAAGCGCGCGCGGAUGCAACUUGGACGUGUCGUGCUCUCGACGGAGGGGGCUCGCGAGACGUCGACCGGCGGCCGCGUCGACGUGAUUUCCCAAGUGGCCGCCGCACGGCACAAACAUCUGACCGUCGGUUGCACACUCGCUGCAAAUUGCCAGUGGUACUCUGCGCAGUAGUAGAAAGAGACAUUGCCUGGAAAUUGGAAUAUUAUUAUCUCUGGCCAGGCAGCAACAUUUCUCACUUGUUUGUGACCUGUGAGCCAUCCACCACUAGCUACCGAUUCAUCCACCGAUGACCCUGCAAGUAGCUGACCAUCGGUCGAUUCUACAUUUCAGUCUACGAUGCUCUUGAUAUUUGAGUUACUGUUUUAUCUGUGGCUUACAAGUCACUAUAAUUUGUUGAACUGGACUUAUGGAUAAAAGAAAAGGAAUUGCCCUGUUCU
Molecule: long non-coding RNA, 3452 nt
Organism: Oryza brachyantha (malo sina)
Lineage: Eukaryota; Viridiplantae; Streptophyta; Magnoliopsida; Poales; Poaceae
Exons: 3
Source: RefSeq, a predicted model, not a curated record